Actinia tenebrosa (Australian red waratah sea anemone) is the source of this 475-nucleotide long non-coding RNA. NCBI's taxonomy places the organism in Eukaryota, Metazoa, Cnidaria, Anthozoa, Actiniaria, Actiniidae. The record is from RefSeq and is a predicted model, not a curated record.
UACUAUGUGAAGCAUUUAUUGUUUUAUCUUUUAGAUUGGUUUUACUGGUUGUGGAAUCAAUCCGGCACGAUCCAUGGGUCCCGCUGUCAUCAUGAAUAUCUGGACUGAUCACUGGGUGUACUGGAUUGGACCAUUAGGAGGAGGUAUGAUAGCAGGAGUACUUUACCAGCUGGUAUUCCGUGCCCGAGAAGAACAAGUACCUAUCACUGAACCUGGUGGCAUUGUUUUAAACAGCUUGGAGUCACGCUAGAGCUCUGGUUUGCUGUGCCAAAUAUAUGUACUAGAUUUGUACUACUUUGUACUAGAUCACGGUACGCGCGCUUUUCGCGCGUGCUUUAUAGACCCUUGCACUGAGUCCAUAAGAGGAAUAGACCAUUUUCGACCGCUGUGUUUCUUGAUUACAGACUCAUUUACUCAGGUUUAGCCUCGAAUCUGUGUCUAAAUAUUGACAAAUACCAACGGUAAAGUAAGAAUG